This is a long non-coding RNA of Molossus molossus (Pallas's mastiff bat), 481 nucleotides long. RefSeq lists it as uncharacterized. NCBI's taxonomy places the organism in Eukaryota, Metazoa, Chordata, Mammalia, Chiroptera, Molossidae. The transcript is spliced from 4 exons. The record is from RefSeq and is a predicted model, not a curated record.
UACAGCAACAGUGUAAAGAAUAUUAGUCUCCUAACUUGUGUCUUUUUGUGUUUUUGGUCUUUGACAGUUUGGUGCCAUGGCUCAGGAUUAUAACUUGCCUUCAGAUUCAGAUUCUGGUCUGCUCCAGUCAGGUAAUAGACCAUGUGGAGAUGAUCAUUCUUCAUUUCUGACUGGCAACCCAGGGAUCUAAGGGUUUCACCAAGAUACAGUUUGCACUCACCAUGACCAUGGACUCCAGUCUUCAUCCAGCUGUGGAAGCCCCGGUGCCUUGCUGCUCACCUCUUGUCAAGUCUACAACAAUGUGAUCUCUAUGUGUCCCUACUGAGUACUACUUCUUUUGUGACCAAAAUGCCUAGGUCUGUUCACUUCAGACUCUGCCAAAGGAAUCCUGUUUAAGGUGCCUGGAUUUCAAAAUUCUAAAACAACUGACCUGUGCUAUAACUGUUCACCAGGUGGUUCAAUGUAUUUUACAGAAACAAAA